This 112-nucleotide transfer RNA is filed under the name Infirmifilum uzonense. RNAcentral's name for it is "Thermofilum uzonense tRNA". It matches the Rfam family "tRNA". From Rfam's summary of the family: Transfer RNA (tRNA) molecules are approximately 80 nucleotides in length. The record is from Rfam by way of RNAcentral. Lineage: Archaea; Thermoproteati; Thermoproteota; Thermoprotei; Thermofilales; Thermofilaceae.
GGGGCCGUAGUCCAGCCUGGUAGGAUGCCUGGCACGGCUUUUAAAAGCCGCGGGACUUGGGAUCUGGGGACAAGAACCCAGGUGGUCCCGGGUUCAAAUCCCGGCGGCCCCA